GAUGAACGCUGGCGGCGUGCCUAAUACAUGCAAGUCGAGCGAACAGACGAGGAGCUUGCUCCUUUGACGUUAGCGGCGGACGGGUGAGUAACACGUAGGUAACCUACCUAUAAGACUGGGAUAACUUCGGGAAACCGGAGCUAAUACCGGAUAAUAUUUCGAACCGCAUGGUUCGAUAGUGAAAGAUGGCUUUGCUAUCACUUAUAGAUGGACCUGCGCCGUAUUAGCUAGUUGGUAAGGUAACGGCUUACCAAGGCAACGAUACGUAGCCGACCUGGGAGGGUGAUCGGCCACACUGGAACUGAGACACGGUCCAGACUCCUACGGGAGGCAGCAGUAGGGAAUCUUCCGCAAUGGGCGAAAGCCUGACGGAGCAACGCCGCGUGAGUGAUGAAGGUCUUCGGAUCGUAAAACUCUGUUAUUAGGGAAGAACAAACGUGUAAGUAACUGUGCACGUCUUGACGGUACCUAAUCAGAAAGCCACGGCUAACUACGUG
This 497-nucleotide ribosomal RNA is filed under the name uncultured bacterium. RNAcentral describes it as "partial 16S ribosomal RNA". It matches the Rfam family "Bacterial small subunit ribosomal RNA", at positions 28 to 507 of the family's 1533-position model. The record is from RNAcentral.